GGCAUGCUGUCCAUUUGCUGUGGUUGCAGGGGGCAGGCUUUGGCAGACCCACCUCUCUAUCAUCCAGUGGUGGGACACUGCAACCUUAAAGCCAAGUCUCUGCUGUUGGUCCGUAGUAGGCGUCCUGGAAUCACCGUUGGAGGAUACAGACACCAAAGCGAUUACACGAGAGUGCAGCGGAUUGACACUGACUUUGGAGGAGGCCGUUUUCUGUCUCCUGCCAGGUGACCUCCCCUUGUCGCUCUGCAGCCCACGUUCUCUUGUGGCCCCGAUGUUCUUUCCAUCGCCGCCUCGUUGACCUUUUCAGUAUUCUGCGUGUCGAUUGGUUUAAGCCGUUGCUGCCCUUUCCUCCCACAGCUGGCUACAGGGAGAUGGGCGUCGUGGCCCGGCAACACAAAAACGGUGGCUAUCAGGGAGAUGGGGGUGGCAUGUAAAAAGUCAGCAUUGUGCGGUUCUCGCUGCAGUGAGUCACCGAAUAUGCCAAGCCCGGCCAUUCUGCUCCCUUCAGCGGGGAGGAAAGAGGUUGUCAAAGCUGCAGGAUAAAUCCGGAAUGACAAUGAAAACAGCAGUUAGGGAAAGGCUUCAACUGGCUGCCUUAAGAUGCUGAAGUAGCCAAGCCCAGAGACCUGAGCAACCAGAAGACACCAGACCGGUGGCAGAGAGUCAACGCAGGGAUUUGUGACCAGCCACUGAGGCCUUCGGUAACCCAUCAAACAAGUAACCU
Molecule: long non-coding RNA, 724 nt
Organism: Mauremys reevesii (Reeves's turtle)
Lineage: Eukaryota; Metazoa; Chordata; Testudines; Geoemydidae
Exons: 3
Source: RefSeq, a predicted model, not a curated record